CCGCCCCUCCCCCUCCCUCUCCUCCUCCGCCGCUGCCGUUCAUCUCCUCCAGGAGCCUUGGCCUCUCCGAAUCCACCGAUUUCGAUCACUGUCGGCCGGACCGCAGAUGGUAGAGGGCAGCGGAGCAAGCAAGCAAGGCGUUGGUGUUGAUUGCGUCGGAAUGGGGCAGCGGCGGGCAAUUGCUUUUCCAAGCGUGAGGCUGAGAGCCGCGAGGUUUGGGGGCUUGGGGCCGUAUCAAUUUCUUCGGGGCGGGGGCGCCACAUCGGAUGCUGACAUGGCCGGUUCUUG
This 288-nucleotide long non-coding RNA is filed under the name Zea mays. RNAcentral's name for it is "long non-coding RNA NONZMAT002036". The record is from RNAcentral. Lineage: Eukaryota; Viridiplantae; Streptophyta; Magnoliopsida; Poales; Poaceae.